GGUGGUGAUCUUAGAAUAUUUAAAAUCAGUGAAGAAAGUUCUUCCAAAACCAUAGAUUGUUGAUCCUGUUGCCUUCUCAUCAUCUUGACUUUCUUUGAAAUUCAACAAAAAAAGAGGCAAAUGGAUAAAGCUGUGGCGGAUUUUGACUUAAAAUUAUCCACCCAACAAUAUUAAAGCCUCUAUUUUUAAAUCUUUUUUUCAUUAACAAAAGUCCGAGAGGCUUUUUUUUUUGUUUUCCUUUGCCUGUUUCUUCAAAGAGAGAACGCUAAUUCAGAAAUUAAAUCAGAAAAAAGAAAAGAAUGAUAGAAAUAUAGCGUACAGGGAAAAAGUUGCUUAUCUUGAAAGGAUAAUAGGAUUUUGAGAAAUGUAGA
RNAcentral lists this long non-coding RNA (371 nucleotides) under Capsicum annuum. Its description in RNAcentral is "long non-coding RNA (CANN_LNC008462)". Lineage: Eukaryota; Viridiplantae; Streptophyta; Magnoliopsida; Solanales; Solanaceae. The record is from RNAcentral.